UACGGGGGGGCAAGCGUUGUUCGGAAUUACUGGGCGUAAAGGGCUCGUAGGCGGCCAACUAAGUCAGACGUGAAAUCCCUCAGCUUAACUGGGGAACUGCGUCUGAUACUGGAUGGCUAGAGUGUGGGAGAGGGAUGCGGAAUUCCAGGUGUAGCGGUGAAAUGCGUAGAUAUCUGGAGGAACACCGGUGGCGAAGGCGGCAUCCUGGACCACGACUGACGCUGAGUGAGCGAAAGCCAGGGGAGCAAACGGG
Molecule: ribosomal RNA, 253 nt
Filed under: uncultured bacterium
Lineage: Bacteria
Description: partial 16S ribosomal RNA
Rfam family: Bacterial small subunit ribosomal RNA
Source: RNAcentral